AACGAACGCUGGCGGCAUGCCUAACACAUGCAAGUCGAACGAGACCUUCGGGUCUAGUGGCGCACGGGUGCGUAACGCGUGGGAACCUGCCCUUAGGUUCGGAAUAACUCCCCGAAAGGGGUGCUAAUACCGGAUAAUGUCUUCGGACCAAAGAUUUAUCGCCUUUGGAUGGGCCCGCGUUGGAUUAGCUAGUUGGUAGGGUAAAAGCCUACCAAGGCGACGAUCCAUAGCUGGUCUGAGAGGAUGAUCAGCCACACUGGGACUGAGACACGGCCCAGACUCCUACGGGAGGCAGCAGUGGGGAAUAUUGGACAAUGGGCGAAAGCCUGAACCAGCAAUGCCGCGUGAGUGAUGAAGGCCGUAGGGUUGUAAAGCUAUUUUACCCGGGAUGAUAAUGACAGUACCGGGAGAAUAAGCUCCGGCUAACUCCGUG
RNAcentral lists this ribosomal RNA (433 nucleotides) under uncultured bacterium. Its description in RNAcentral is "partial 16S ribosomal RNA". It matches the Rfam family "Bacterial small subunit ribosomal RNA", at positions 29 to 507 of the family's 1533-position model. The record is from RNAcentral.